RNAcentral lists this small nuclear RNA (303 nucleotides) under Sorex araneus (European shrew). RNAcentral describes it as "7SK RNA (ENSSARG00000019637.1)". It matches the Rfam family "7SK RNA". From Rfam's summary of the family: 7SK was discovered as an abundant small nuclear RNA in the mid-70s but a possible function has only recently been suggested. Two independent studies have found that 7SK RNA binds the CDK9/cyclin T complex (known as elongation factor P-TEFb). P-TEFb activates transcription by phosphorylating the C-terminal domain of RNA polymerase II. The record is from RNAcentral. Lineage: Eukaryota; Metazoa; Chordata; Mammalia; Eulipotyphla; Soricidae.
GGGUGUGAGGGCCAUCUGGUUGCGAUAUCUGCCACUGCAUUGAUCACCAGGAUUGAUUUCAGCUGAUCUGACCGGCUAAGUGGGAGUUUAUUUCCUUCCUCACUGUUCAGUGUGUAUCUCAAAGGAGCUGGGCACUUGGUCGAAAAGGAAGAAGAGGAUGGCCUUCCCCAUCAUAGUGACCAUUCUUCAGCCUAGGGUAUCUGUGUUCCCCUGUAGAGCCUCCAACCAAGACCUCACGGUCCUUAAAACACUACCCUUGGUCUUUGGUAGCACUGUAGCACUGUCAUCCUGUUGUUCAUCGAU